Panicum virgatum (switchgrass) is the source of this 1201-nucleotide RNA transcript. It is a transcript of the gene named homeobox protein B-H1-like, with no coding region annotated. Lineage: Eukaryota; Viridiplantae; Streptophyta; Magnoliopsida; Poales; Poaceae. The transcript has 3 exons. The record is from RefSeq and is a predicted model, not a curated record.
CCGGGCGGGCUAUAAAAUGGGCGCGCCAAGAGCCUGGAUAACGCAGUUCGCCGCUUCGUCAGGUGUGACCCCGCCACCGUCGGCGUCUUCCUCCUCCUCCUCCUGCCGUUUUCGUCGUCUUCGUCCCUCCGUAGGCCGGUGGAGAACCGAUGGCGUCCAACUACGUGGACACGACGGGCGAGGAGGGCCGGUUCCACGGCCCGCACCACCACCACCACAGCGCCGGCACCACCCCGACGGGCGCCGCGGCGGCGUCGUCGUCGCCGCGCGCCAUGCGCCGGAGCUUCUCGUCCGCGUCCUCCGGCGGCGGCCACAGCCACGGCGGCGGGGCCAAGUGCGUGUGCGCGCCCCCGACGCACGCGGGGUCCUUCAAGUGCCGCCUCCACCGCACCAACUCCCAGGGCCACGGCCACCCGCACCCGUCCCCGCCCACCUCCCCCGCCGCCGCCGCCGCCGCCGCGCCGGCGCAGGACGUCCCGACGUCCUCCGCCUCCUCCCGCACCGUCGAGGCCCAGUGAGUCAUCGCGGACCAAGGAACCCAAGAAAAUGGGCGAGGAGCAGAGGAGGACAGAGAGAGAAGAACAAGAACAUGAUCGAGCGUCAGAAGAAGGGAGCCUAUUAGUAUUCCCCUUGCUGUGAUCCGUGUUACCGAAAGAUUUUUGCUUUCGCCUUUCACCUUUUCUCCUGUCAUUUCUCAUUUCUGUGUGGGAUCCCUCGGUUUCUGCCGCUUGAUUCCCCGCCUGCAUCCCUUCUUCAGAUGAUGAUGCUCCAGUCCAGCUCCUCCUUGCCCUUGCUUCAGCCCCUUCUUCUACCUCCUGGAUCGCCAGCCGAGAGACGGUGAAAACGGAGGCCUAUAUUCCAGCCAGAGUGUGAUGGGCAUGGCUUGUGCUUCCGCCGGGCAGCAUGGUGGUGUGCUCUGAUUGAUGCUCAUUAAUGCAGCGGUUGGAUUUUUGCUGAACAGUCCAGCCAGAAGCAGCUGCAUCUCUUGGCCGCUUUCCUUUCAGAAACGCUUCAGUUACCAGUUUCCUUUCGGGUAGAGUUGGUGCCAAUCUUGAUCUUGCGUAGAUUCACAUUCUAGAGUGUGAUGAGCUAAGGCCGUGUUUAGUUGUGUUUAGUUCGUGAGGCCUGUAAAGGUAAAAAAAAUUGCGUCGGAAUCUUUCCAAUUUGAAGUAGUAAAUGAAGUCUACUUACAAAACUUUUU